Molecule: ribosomal RNA, 509 nt
Filed under: uncultured bacterium
Lineage: Bacteria
Description: bacterial SSU rRNA
Rfam family: Bacterial small subunit ribosomal RNA
Source: RNAcentral
UAGUCCACGCCCUAAACGAUGGUCACUAGCCGUUCGGACUUCGGUCUGAGUGGCUAAGCGAAAGUGAUAAGUGACCCACCUGGGGAGUACGUUCGCAAGAUGAAACUACAAAGGAAUUGGACCGGGGGCCCGCACAAGCGGUGGAGCAUGUGGUUUAAUUCGAUGAUACGCGAGGAACCUUACCAGGGCUUAAAUGUAAGUUGCAUUAGCUAGAGAUAGUUAUUUCUUCGGACUACUUACAAGGUGCUGCAUGGUUGUCGUCAGCUCGUGCCGUGAGGUGUCAGGUUAAGUCCUAUAACGAGCGCAACCCCUGUUGUUAGUUGCCAGCGAUUUAAGUCGGGAACUCUAACAAGACUGCCAGUGCAAACUGUGAGGAAGGUGGGGAUGACGUCAAAUCAUCGCGGCCCUUACGUCCUGGGCUACACACGUGCUACAAUGGUAGGGACAGAGAGCAGCCACUGGGCGACCAGGAGCGAAUCUAUAAACCCUAUCACAGUUCGGAUCGGAGU